This is a long non-coding RNA of Dermacentor andersoni, 795 nucleotides long. RefSeq lists it as uncharacterized. The record is from RefSeq and is a predicted model, not a curated record. NCBI's taxonomy places the organism in Eukaryota, Metazoa, Arthropoda, Arachnida, Ixodida, Ixodidae.
AGGAUGUCGAUCGACGUUGGGCCUGGUGACAGCACACCCGACAUGGCCAAAGUGCAGCCUAUCAGUUGAGUGCCCCCGAAUGGACGAUCAACAUCGGAAAAUGAAGCAGAGCCAGAACCAGCAUGUCUAGGAUGUGCAGAUUUGAGUCUACCUAAUUUUCUAGACAUUGGCAAGUGCCUGAAGUUGUCUGGAGAUUUGUGCAAUGCCGACAUCUGCCUAAAUGAAACUGGCCUUACAUGCGCUGGAGACACGCCUGUGGAUUGCCUCUUGACUUACGUUUUCACCACCGCUCCCAGUCAAGUUACAAAACCUCUGGCUUGCGAUUUCAUCAUAAUCCUCACCAAUCUUUUUGGGGCUGCUGGAUCUUCAACACUGAAGCCUUUGCUCUGUGCGGUUCAGUCGACGGUGAAUGUCACCUGUAUUGGCUGCUAGGCCAGAAAUACGAGCAUUCUUGAUCCCCUUGCAUCUUUCGAACACAGUACGAAGCUAUCGGUCAACUUGUUGAGCAUUGCGUUGCCAUUUACAGGCUAACAAGCGUCUUCUGUGCCAUGAGGACACAUUAUAUAAGAUUAUGUGAGCAUUAUUUGAGCAUUAUCUUGUUUGAUAGGAUGCCACUGUUCUGAGUUAUGAAAAUUUUCGCAACACUAUCUGUAUUUUGGGAGAAACUACAAGCAAGGUGUUAGGGCCAUGCCUACACAAUUUAGAAGAAUUUAAAAACGGGUAAGUUUAACUGAGUCGCUCUAGGUAGGGCGCUAACCGCAUGGCGAUGACUGGGAAAAUCUGAAGUAAUUUGCA